AGUGAACGCUGGCGGUAGGCCUAACACAUGCAAGUCGAACGGCAGCACAGUAAGAGCUUGCUCUUACGGGUGGCGAGUGGCGGACGGGUGAGGAAUACAUCGGAAUCUACUUUUUCGUGGGGGAUAACGUAGGGAAACUUACGCUAAUACCGCAUACGACCUACGGGUGAAAGCAGGGGAUCUUCGGACCUUGCGCGAUUGAAUGAGCCGAUGUCGGAUUAGCUAGUUGGCGGGGUAAAGGCCCACCAAGGCGACGAUCCGUAGCUGGUCUGAGAGGAUGAUCAGCCACACUGGAACUGGGACACGGUCCAGACUCCUACGGGAGGCAGCAGCGGGGAAUAUUGGACAAUGGGCGCAAGCCUGAUCCAGCCAUACCGCGUGGGUGAAGAAGGCCUUCGGGUUGUAAAGCCCUUUUGUUGGGAAAGAAAAGCAGCAGGUUAAUACCCCGCUGUUCUGACGGUACCCAAAGAAUAAGCACCGGCUAACUUCGUG
Molecule: ribosomal RNA, 492 nt
Filed under: uncultured bacterium
Lineage: Bacteria
Description: partial 16S ribosomal RNA
Rfam family: Bacterial small subunit ribosomal RNA
Source: RNAcentral